GCAUAACGCGAAGAACCUUACCCACCUUUGACAUGUACGGAAUCCUUUAGAGAUAGAGGAGUGCUCGAAAGAGAGCCGUAACACAGGUGCUGCAUGGCUGUCGUCAGCUCGUGUCGUGAGAUGUUGGGUUAAGUCCCGCAACGAGCGCAACCCUUGCCAUUAGUUGCUACGAAAGGGCACUCUAAUGGGACUGCCGGUGACAAACCGGAGGAAGGUGGGGAUGACGUCAAGUCCUCAUGGCCCUUAUAGGUGGGGCUACACACGUCAUACAAUGGCUGGUACAAAGGGUUGCCAACCCGCGAGGGGGAGCUAAUCCCAUAAAGCCAGUCGUAGUCCGGAUCGCAGUCUGCAACUCGACUGCGUGAAGUCGGAAUCGCUAGUAAUCGUGGAUCAGAAUGUCACGGUGAAUACGUUCCCGGGUCUUGUACACACCG
This 434-nucleotide ribosomal RNA is filed under the name uncultured bacterium. RNAcentral describes it as "bacterial SSU rRNA". It matches the Rfam family "Bacterial small subunit ribosomal RNA", at positions 954 to 1392 of the family's 1533-position model. The record is from RNAcentral.